UUGGAGGGCAAGUCUGGUGCCAGCAGCCGCGGUAAUUCCAGCUCCAAUAGCGUAUAUUAAAGUUGUUGCAGUUAAAAAGCUCGUAGUUGAAUUUCGGGAUCAAUUUAUUGGUCGUGCAAUAGUACGUACUGAUUUUAUUGAUUCCUCUCUUCUGAAGAACUAUGAUGUCAUUAAUUUGGUGUCAUAGGGAAGCAGGACUGUUACUUUGAAAAAAUUAGAGUGUUUAAAGCAGGCUCACGCUUGAAUACAUUAGCAUGGAAUAACGAAAUAGGACGUUUGAUUCUAUUUUGUUGGUUUCUAGGAUCGACGUAAUGAUUAAUAGGGAUAGUUGGGGGCAUUAGUAUUCAAUUGUCAGAGGUGAAAUUCUUGGAUUUAUUGAAGACUAACUACUGCGAAAGCAUUUGCCAAGGAUGUUUUCAUUAAUCAAGAACGAAAGUUAGGGGAUCGAAGACGAUCAGAUACCGUCGUAGUCUUAACCAUAAACUAUGCCGACUAGGGAUCGGAUGAUGUUAAAUUAAUGACUCAUUCGGCGCCUUACGGGAAAC
RNAcentral lists this ribosomal RNA (545 nucleotides) under uncultured Glomus. Its description in RNAcentral is "SSU rRNA". It matches the Rfam family "Eukaryotic small subunit ribosomal RNA", at positions 548 to 1098 of the family's 1831-position model. Lineage: Eukaryota; Fungi; Glomeromycota; Glomeromycetes; Glomerales; Glomeraceae. The record is from RNAcentral.